UGGGGAAUAUUGGACAAUGGGCGAAAGCCUGAUCCAGCAAUGCCGCGUGAGUGAUGAAGGCCUUAGGGUUGUAAAGCUCUUUUACCCGGGAUGAUAAUGACGGUACCCGUAGAAGAAGCUCCGGCUAACUUCGUGCCAGCAGCCGCGGUAAUACGAAGGGGGCUAGCGUUGUUCGGAAUUACUGGGCGUAAAGCGCACGUAGGCGGUUUUCCAAGUUGGAGGUGAAAUCCCCGGGCUUAACCUGGGAACUGCCUCCAAGACUGGGAGACUCGAGUCCGAGAGAGGUGAGUGGAAUUUCCAGUGUAGAGGUGAAAUUCGUAGAUAUUGGAAAGAACACCAGUGGCGAAGGCGGCUCACUGGCUCGGUACUGACGCUGAGGAGCGACAGCGUGGGGAGCAAA
RNAcentral lists this ribosomal RNA (400 nucleotides) under uncultured bacterium. RNAcentral's name for it is "bacterial SSU rRNA". It matches the Rfam family "Bacterial small subunit ribosomal RNA", at positions 355 to 772 of the family's 1533-position model. The record is from RNAcentral.